AGACCCGAAACCCGGUGAUCUAGCCAUGGGCAGGUUGAAGGUUGGGUAACACUAACUGGAGGACCGAACCGACUAAUGUUGAAAAAUUAGCGGAUGACCUGUGGCUGGGGGUGAAAGGCCAAUCAAACCGGGAGAUAGCUGGUUCUCCCCGAAAGCUAUUUAGGUAGCGCCUCGUGAAUUCAUCUCCGGGGGUAGAGCACUGUUUCGGCUAGGGGGCCAUCCCGGCUUACCAACCCGAUGCAAACUGCGAAUACCGGAGAAUGUUAUCACGGGAGACACACGGCGGGUGCUAACGUCCGUCGUGAAGAGGGAAACAACCCAGACCGCCAGCUAAGGUCCCAAAGUCAUGGUUAAGUGGGAAACGAUGUGGGAAGGCCCAGACAGCCAGGAUGUUGGCUUAGAAGCAGCCAUCAUUUAAAGAAAGCGUAAUAGCUCACUGGUCGAGUCGGCCUGCGCGGAAGAUGUAACGGGGCUAAACCAUGCACCGAAGCUGCGGCAGCGAACGUAUCACUUAAAGCGAUUCAGCGGGUUACGAUUGACGGAGCGAAGCGACGUCAAAGUGUAUACAAAGUCGAGUCGGUUUAAGGAUACGUUCGUUGGGUAGGGGAGCGUUCUGUAAGCCUGCGAAGGUGGCCUGUGAGGG
Molecule: ribosomal RNA, 643 nt
Filed under: Salmonella enterica subsp. enterica serovar London
Lineage: Bacteria; Pseudomonadati; Pseudomonadota; Gammaproteobacteria; Enterobacterales; Enterobacteriaceae
Description: partial 23S ribosomal RNA
Rfam family: Bacterial large subunit ribosomal RNA
Source: RNAcentral